UUAUCACCGGGAUUUGGUCCAUCAUGUUGCAAGCAAACGUGCGCAUGCCUAGUACUCAUUACCCAGUACAACUCAAUUCGCAAAUCACGGUAACAAAUUAUGAAAUUGCCAAGAGCCGAGGAUGCAGGGCUGAUGAGGGGUGAAGUCAAGGCAAAGGAAAGGCAUGUCCGUCAAGCGUGGCUACGUUGAGGCUUUGUCGAGCGAGGCUUGAUUGGACGGAGGGAUAUUCUAAUUGGGUAGAUUUAAAAUUUAGACACUGAUUUUUCAAAUCUGGA
Molecule: unclassified non-coding RNA, 275 nt
Filed under: Hevea brasiliensis (rubber tree)
Lineage: Eukaryota; Viridiplantae; Streptophyta; Magnoliopsida; Malpighiales; Euphorbiaceae
Source: RNAcentral